Sinocyclocheilus rhinocerous is the source of this 530-nucleotide long non-coding RNA. RefSeq lists it as uncharacterized. The transcript is spliced from 3 exons. NCBI's taxonomy places the organism in Eukaryota, Metazoa, Chordata, Actinopteri, Cypriniformes, Cyprinidae. The record is from RefSeq and is a predicted model, not a curated record.
UCACUGAGAAUGAGCAGAUUUUACCCGGGACAGGUUUUUUUUUAUCAUCAAUCUGUCAGUAUUAUCACAUCAAUUAUUUCAGAGUAUCUUCAUCAGAGUGCUUUACAUUUGAUUUGAUCAGUUUUUCAUAUGAAGGCAGCAGAUAUUCGGAAUAACGUGCAAUGCUACACCAGGCUGACAGUUUAUUUCUCCUUCACUCAGUCUGGUCCCUGAGGAUGACUUGUGGUUGCUUUGGGAUUUCCUUGUCUCCAGAGAACACAACACUCAUCGUAACACAUCCACUGCCUUCUGCAUGUUAUCUUUGGGCAGGUCGAGGUAUUUAGACAUCAAAGUCACCACCAGACGACUGCACUGCUUAACAGAAACCACAGAAUGAGAAUGAGACAGCCAAAGAGAAGCUUAAUGUGUUCCUGUGGGUCACAGGUUACUGAUUCUGCCAAGCAGGACAUGUUCUUGGAUUCACCUCAAGUAAUUCCCAACUAAUAGUUCUUGCAGCCAUGGUUGUGACUGAAUGUAAUAAUGUCCCAUGU